RNAcentral lists this ribosomal RNA (429 nucleotides) under Chloroflexota bacterium. RNAcentral's name for it is "Chloroflexi bacterium partial 16S ribosomal RNA". It matches the Rfam family "Bacterial small subunit ribosomal RNA", at positions 355 to 776 of the family's 1533-position model. The record is from RNAcentral. Lineage: Bacteria; Bacillati; Chloroflexota.
UGGGGAAUAUUGCACAAUGGGCGCAAGCCUGAUGCAGCCAUGCCGCGUGUAUGAAGAAGGCCUUCGGGUUGUAAAGUACUUUCAGCGGGGAGGAAGGGAGUAAAGUUAAUACCUUUGCUCAUUGACGUUACCCGCAGAAGAAGCACCGGCUAACUCCGUGCCAGCAGCCGCGGUAAUACGGAGGGUGCAAGCGUUAAUCGGAAUUACUGGGCGUAAUGCGCACGCUGGCGGUUUGUUAAGUCAGAUGUGAAAUCCCCGGGCUCAACCUGGGAACUGCAUCUGAUACUGGCAAGCUUGAGUCUCGUAGAGGGGGGUAGAAUUCCAGGUGUAGCGGUGAAAUGCGUAGAGAUCUGGAGGAAUACCGGUGGCGAAGGCGGCCCCCUGGACGAAGACUGACGCUCAGGUGCGAAAGCGUGGGGAGCAAACAGG